This 253-nucleotide ribosomal RNA is filed under the name uncultured bacterium. RNAcentral describes it as "partial 16S ribosomal RNA". It matches the Rfam family "Bacterial small subunit ribosomal RNA", at positions 524 to 776 of the family's 1533-position model. The record is from RNAcentral.
UACAGAGGUCUCAAGCGUUGUUCGGAUUCAUUGGGCGUAAAGGGUGCGUAGGCGGCGCGGUAAGUCGGGUGUGAAAUCUCGGGGCUUAACUCCGAAACUGCAUUCGAUACUGCCGUGCUUGAGGACUGGAGAGGAGUCUGGAAUUUACGGUGUAGCGGUGAAAUGCGUAGAUAUCGUAAGGAAGACCAGUGGCGAAGGCGGCUUUCUGGUCUGCUCUUGACGCUGAGGCGCGAAAGCUAGGGUAGCAAACGGG